This 301-nucleotide unclassified non-coding RNA is filed under the name Glomus sp. RNAcentral describes it as "partial contains 5.8S ribosomal RNA, internal transcribed spacer 2, and large subunit ribosomal RNA". The record is from RNAcentral. Lineage: Eukaryota; Fungi; Glomeromycota; Glomeromycetes; Glomerales; Glomeraceae.
GGGAAGAAGAGAAGGGGGGAAAGGAAAGGGAACUUUUUGGUAUUCCGGAAAGUAUGCCUGUUUGAGGGUCAGUUAAAUAAAAAUCGGUGUUGUUGCUGCCUUUCGUGGUGACGCGUCGGAAUUGGGUCGUCUUACCUUCGGUUAAGUGACUUAAAAUUUUUGCAUGAUUUUCGAACGUAUUUAAAUCGCUUACGUACGUUUGAGAUAUCGAAUGCUUAUUAGGUUCGGUCAUUUCCAUGAUUCGCGCCUAUAAUUUUUCAUUAAAUGAACUCAAAUCAGGUAAGAAUACCCGCUGAACUUA